RNAcentral lists this ribosomal RNA (254 nucleotides) under uncultured bacterium. RNAcentral describes it as "partial 16S ribosomal RNA". It matches the Rfam family "Bacterial small subunit ribosomal RNA", at positions 524 to 776 of the family's 1533-position model. The record is from RNAcentral.
UACGAAGGGGGCGAGCGUUGUUCGGAAUUACUGGGCGUAAAGGGCGCGUAGGCGGCCGAUCAAGUUAGAUGUGAAAGUCCUGGGCUUAACCUGGGGACUGCAUUUGAUACUGAUUGGCUUGAAUUCGGGAGAGGAUAGCGGAAUUCCCAGUGUAGAGGUGAAAUUCGUAGAUAUUGGGAAGAACACCGGUGGCGAAGGCGGCUAUCUGGACCGACAUUGACGCUGAGUGAACGAAAGCUAGGGGAGCAAACAGG